GAUGAAUUGUGGACAAACAGAAGAACAAACAACUAUAAGAGAUCUUAUUAAUGACCUAAAAUCUGAAAGAGGUCCUGCUUUAAUAAAGGGAUUAGUACACGCCAAUAUAUACUUCGAAUGUCCGGGUACCGACUGUAUAGCGGAAAAUGGACUUACCGGAAGGCAGAU
Octopus sinensis (East Asian common octopus) is the source of this 168-nucleotide long non-coding RNA. RefSeq lists it as uncharacterized. The record is from RefSeq and is a predicted model, not a curated record. The transcript is spliced from 2 exons. Lineage: Eukaryota; Metazoa; Mollusca; Cephalopoda; Octopoda; Octopodidae.